Molecule: transfer RNA, 68 nt
Filed under: Curculionoidea sp. 2 KM-2015
Lineage: Eukaryota; Metazoa; Arthropoda; Insecta; Coleoptera
Also listed under: 1 other name
Description: tRNA-Asp
Rfam family: tRNA
About the family: Transfer RNA (tRNA) molecules are approximately 80 nucleotides in length. Their secondary structure includes four short double-helical elements and three loops (D, anti-codon, and T loops).
Source: RNAcentral
AAAAAUUUAGUUAAAUUUAUAACGUUAGCUUGUCAAGUUAAAAUAAUUCUUAAAUAGAAUAAUUUUUA